CGCCCAUUUUUGUCUUCCAGGUUUAACAUACAAACUACUGCAUAUAAAAGAUUCAGCCAGGACUUCCAAUUGUUGCAAGAAUGGAACCUAAUGGAAAUCAUGUAGCUGAGAGGUAUGGUGUAGUCACUGGAGCAAAUAAGGGGAUUGGUUUUGAAACAGCAAAGCAACUUGCUUCUCGAGGCAUACGAGUGAUUUUGACAGCCAGAAAUGAG
This 212-nucleotide unclassified non-coding RNA is filed under the name Hevea brasiliensis (rubber tree). The record is from RNAcentral. Lineage: Eukaryota; Viridiplantae; Streptophyta; Magnoliopsida; Malpighiales; Euphorbiaceae.